GUGGAGUGGCCGAGAGGCGAGGCAACGGCCUGCAAAGCCGUCUACACGGGUUCAAAUCCCGUCUCCACCUCGACCA
RNAcentral lists this transfer RNA (76 nucleotides) under Janibacter hoylei PVAS-1. RNAcentral describes it as "tRNA-Cys". It matches the Rfam family "tRNA". Rfam says of the family: Transfer RNA (tRNA) molecules are approximately 80 nucleotides in length. The record is from RNAcentral. Lineage: Bacteria; Bacillati; Actinomycetota; Actinomycetes; Micrococcales; Intrasporangiaceae.